AUCCAGCUGACGAAUCCCAAAUAGAACGAAACGCGCGUCAAACUGGAU
Non-coding RNA from Schistosoma mansoni, 48 nucleotides. NCBI's taxonomy places the organism in Eukaryota, Metazoa, Platyhelminthes, Trematoda, Strigeidida, Schistosomatidae. The record is from Rfam.